This 572-nucleotide ribosomal RNA is filed under the name uncultured bacterium. Its description in RNAcentral is "bacterial SSU rRNA". It matches the Rfam family "Bacterial small subunit ribosomal RNA", at positions 8 to 571 of the family's 1533-position model. The record is from RNAcentral.
AGAGUUUGAUCCUGGCUCAGGAUGAUCGCAGGCGGCAUGCCUAAUACAUGCAAGUCGAACGAGGAUCCUUCGGGAUCCUAGUGGCGAACGGGUGAGUAACACGUAGGGAACCUGCCCGCGCACCGGGAAUACGCUCUGGAAACGGAGAACAAAUCCCGAUGUACAGGAAGGAGGCAUCUUCUUUCUGUGAAACAUCCUGUAAGGGAUGGGGCGCGGAUGGACCUGCGGUGCAUUAGUUGGUUGGCGAGGGUAAAGGCCCACCAAGACGAUGAUGCAUAGCCGGCCUGAGAGGGCGGACGGCCACAUUGGGACUGAUACACGGCCCAGACUCCUGCGGGAGGCAGCAGUAGGGAAUUUUCGUCAAUGGGCGCAAGCCUGAACGAGCGAUGCCGCGUGAGUGAAAAAAGCCUUCGGGUCGUAAAGCUCUGUGUGCGGGGGAAAAAAGGCAUCUGCACGAAAUGGUACAUGACAGAUGGUGCCCCGCCAGAAAGUCACGGCUAACUACGUGCCAGCAGCCGCGGUAAUACGUAGGUGGCGAGCGUUAUCCGGAAUGAUUGGGCGUAAAGGGUGCG